GACGAACGCUGGCGGCGUGCUUAACACAUGCAAGUCGAACGGAAAGGCCCUGCUUUUGUGGGGUGCUCGAGUGGCGAACGGGUGAGUAACACGUGAGUAACCUGCCAUUGACUUUGGGAUAACUUCAGGAAACUGGGGCUAAUACCGGAUAGGGGCUCCUGCUGCAUGGUGGGGGUUGGAAAGUUUCGGCGGUUGGGGAUGGACUCGCGGCUUAUCAGCUUGUUGGUGGGGUAGUGGCUUACCAAGGCUUUGACGGGUAGCCGGCCUGAGAGGGUGACCGGCCACAUUGGGACUGAGAUACGGCCCAGACUCCUACGGGAGGCAGCAGUGGGGAAUAUUGCACAAUGGGCGGAAGCCUGAUGCAGCAACGCCGCGUGCGGGAUGACGGCCUUCGGGUUGUAAACCGCUUUCGCCUGUGACGAGGCGUGAGUGACGGUAAUGGGUAAAGAAGCACCGGCUAACUACGUG
This 468-nucleotide ribosomal RNA is filed under the name uncultured bacterium. Its description in RNAcentral is "partial 16S ribosomal RNA". It matches the Rfam family "Bacterial small subunit ribosomal RNA", at positions 28 to 507 of the family's 1533-position model. The record is from RNAcentral.